RNAcentral lists this ribosomal RNA (496 nucleotides) under uncultured bacterium. RNAcentral's name for it is "partial 16S ribosomal RNA". It matches the Rfam family "Bacterial small subunit ribosomal RNA", at positions 28 to 506 of the family's 1533-position model. The record is from RNAcentral.
GAUGAACGCUGGCGGCGUGCCUAAUACAUGCAAGUCGAGCGAACGGACGAGAAGCUUGCUUUUCUGAUGUUAGCGGCGGACGGGUGAGUAACACGUGGAUAACCUACCUAUAAGACUGGGAUAACUUCGGGAAACCGGAGCUAAUACCGGAUAAUAUUUUGAACCGCAUGGUUCAAAAGUGAAAGACGGUCUUGCUGUCACUUAUAGAUGGAUCCGCGCUGCAUUAGCUAGUUGGUAAGGUAACGGCUUACCAAGGCAACGAUGCAUAGCCGACCUGAGAGGGUGAUCGGCCGCACUGGAACUGAGACACGGUCCAGACUCCUACGGGAGGCAGCAGUAGGGAAUCUUCCGCAAUGGGCGAAAGCCUGACGGAGCAACGCCGCGUGAGUGAUGAAGGUCUUCGGAUCGUAAAACUCUGUUAUUAGGGAAGAACAUAUGUGUAAGUAACUGUGCACAUCUUGACGGUACCUAAUCAGAAAGCCACGGCUAACUACGU